GUCGAGCGAGGCCCUCCUUCGGGGGGUGCCCUAGCGGCGAACGGGUGAGUAACACGUGGGCAACCUGCCCUCAGCUCUGGGAUAACUCCAAGAAAUUGGUGCUAAUACCGGAUGUGACCGCUGACCGCAUGGUCUGGUGGUGGAAAGAUUCAUCGGCUGAGGAUGGGCCCGCGGCCUAUCAGCUUGUUGGUGGGGUAAUGGCCCACCAAGGCGACGACGGGUAGCCGGCCUGAGAGGGUGACCGGCCACACUGGGACUGAGACACGGCCCAGACUCCUACGGGAGGCAGCAGUGGGGAAUAUUGCGCAAUGGGCGAAAGCCUGACGCAGCGACCCCGCGUGAGGGAUGACGGCCUUCGGGUUGUAAACCUCUUUCAGUAGGGACGAAGCGCAAGUGACGGUACCUACAGAAGAAGCACCGGGCAACUACCUGCCAUCACCCCCGGUUAUACCUAUGGGGGAAGCGUUCUCCGGAAUUAUUGGGCGUAAAGAGAUCGUAAGCGGUCUGUCACGUCGGCUGUGAAAA
Molecule: ribosomal RNA, 525 nt
Filed under: Modestobacter sp. UAPS01114
Lineage: Bacteria; Bacillati; Actinomycetota; Actinomycetes; Geodermatophilales; Geodermatophilaceae
Description: bacterial SSU rRNA
Rfam family: Bacterial small subunit ribosomal RNA
Source: RNAcentral